RNAcentral lists this long non-coding RNA (584 nucleotides) under Ananas comosus (pineapple). RNAcentral describes it as "long non-coding RNA (ACOM_LNC016851)". Lineage: Eukaryota; Viridiplantae; Streptophyta; Magnoliopsida; Poales; Bromeliaceae. The record is from RNAcentral.
AAAUUUUAUAUUUUAUAUUUUAUAUUCAAAUUUGAAAUUAUGAUUUAAUUUAAUGAAUUUAUAUGAUUGAUAUUUGAAUUCAAAUAAUUAUUAGUAGAAAAAUAUAUUUUUUCUCAAUCACUCCGGAAUCACAGUCGACUCCCAUCAUGGAGGUGGGAGUCACUUUUGAGGGAUUCAAAUCCCUUCGGAACCGGCAUCGGAUUGCCAAUCUUUUAAUCCAAACACUAACCAUCAGAAUAACUUAAUUAUUUCGACUCUUAUUCCAAGUUAAAAGUUAAAAAUACUUCAAACCAAAUAUGCCCUAAGGCCCCGUUUGGAUACCCCUAAAAACGUAGUAUAGUUAAACUAUACUAUGCUGGAAGGAAAAUAAUCCUAUGAAGCGUUUGUGUCACGCCCCGGAUUACUCGUUCCCCGGGAGCGCCGACAAAUCCGACGUAUACAAAGGAAUUUCCCCUGUAUACGAAGCGAUAGCUGUACCUAUAGAUCAUACAAAACUACAAACAGUAGUAUAGAGCUGCUAGAAGAACCAGUAAUAAAAACAAACCGAGUUCCAUAUACAUACGCCAAAACCAAGAUAUAAAACU